ACAUGCGCAUUGCGAGUAUGCGCAGACAGGUGUCUACGGAGUGGAAAGAAGUUGUUGCAUCUGAUAAUUCUUCAAUCGUGUAGCAGCAACUGCAGCUUACAUGGAAUGAGGAUUAUCGGAUUCAUCUACACUCACUGAUCAUCCAAGGUGAAUUGAUGACCUCAAGCAAAUGGAUGUUGUUGUCAUCUGAAGAGAAGGUUGUCCUGGGCCCAUGUUUAGAGGCAUUUGGGGCAUAUCAGACACAUAUCAGAAUCAAGCUGCAUGCACACUUGAGUUUAUUCAGAGAGAAGUUGUGGGCAUCAGUCCGGAAACUGGAUCAAAAAUUUGCUGCUGGAAUGUGAGACAAAUAAAGGCAUGGAAUGAACCCAAAUGUAUGAACACUGCUACGAAAACUAAUGGACUUUGAAUGGCUUGCCAGUUAAUUCCAAUGGAAUUGAAGAAGAGACUCUGACAAGAUUUUCAAGUUUGUGUUUAAUUUAAAAGUUUAUCUUCAUAGAUAAGCAAUUUAAAGGUAGGCACAGUUAAAACUAUUUCUUGUGUGUUUGUUUAAACUGUAAAUUUAUGACUGAAGUUUGGUCACUAUGUAGUAAUGUGUUCCUUUGUGGUUAAUUAAAUGCUGC
This is a long non-coding RNA of Paramisgurnus dabryanus, 620 nucleotides long. RefSeq lists it as uncharacterized. Lineage: Eukaryota; Metazoa; Chordata; Actinopteri; Cypriniformes; Cobitidae. The record is from RefSeq and is a predicted model, not a curated record.